RNA transcript from Carassius auratus (goldfish), 619 nucleotides. It is a transcript of the gene named CD209 antigen-like protein E, with no coding region annotated. The transcript is spliced from 4 exons. The record is from RefSeq and is a predicted model, not a curated record. Lineage: Eukaryota; Metazoa; Chordata; Actinopteri; Cypriniformes; Cyprinidae.
AUCAUAUCUAUCCUCUUCAGGAAGUGAUGGUGUGAUGAUCUCCAGAGCAGCUGCAGUAGUGUUUGUGCUGCUGUGUGUUCUUCUGCUGACUGCACGCAUUAUACUGUGUGCCACCUUCACUCAAGAGAGACAACAGCUGCUGACUAAGAUCACCAACAUCACUCAAGAGAGAGACGAGUUAAAAUCAGAAAGAAAUGAUCUUCAGAAGAAGUUUGCGGAUGGAUGGAAGUGUCAUCAAUCCAGUCUUUACUUCUUUUCCUCUGAGAAGAAGAACUGGACUGAGAGCAGAAGAUACUGUAGAGAGAGAGGAACAGAUCUGAUCAUCAUCAACAACAGAGAGGAACAAGAUUUUGUGAAGAAUAUUUGUGGUAGUUCUGGUCAUUUCUGGAUUGGUUUGACUGAUAUUGAAGAGGAGGGCAGAUGGAAAUGAGUUGAUGGCAGCAACAUCAACAUCACCUCUGGGUUCUGGAAGUCUGGAGAACCAAACAAUCAGGGAAACGAAGACUGUGCUAACACUCGUUCAUCAGGAUGGUUUGAUACUAAAUGUGAUAGUAGUGUUAAAUGGAUCUGUGAGAAGAGUAUCCUUAAAUAAAUGAUACAUUAUAAUAAAAAAUGUACG